GGAAGGAUCAUUAACGUAUGUUUCCGGGUCGCUCGGUCGCGCCCUGCACCGGCGGAGACGCCGUGUUUGCGGGCCGCCGUCCGUCCCUUCCAACAUUCAACCCCUGUGCACCUUUUGGGAAGGGCCCGUGAGGGCUCGGCCCACUUCACAAACUCUUUAUGUUUUGGAAUGUCUUGCGGACUCUGUCCGUCUAAUGUCUAAACAACUUUCAACAACGGAUCUCUUGGCUCUCGCAUCGAUGAAGAACGCAGCGAAAUGCGAUAAGUAAUGUGAAUUGCAGAAUUCAGUGAAUCAUCGAAUCUUUGAACGCACCUUGCGCCCCUUGGUAUUCCGAGGGGCAUGCCUGUUCGAGUGUCUUGAAUUCCUCACCUCCCCCCGGGUUUUUGCGGCUCGGUGGGUACGGUGGACUUGGGGGCUCUGCCGCGGCUUUCUGCUCGCGGCUCCCCUCGAAAGCAUCGGUGGGGUCCGCGGUCGUCCCGGGCGUUGUAUUGUCCUCGUCCGACACGGUCGUCCGCGUCCCUUCCCCGACCUGCCGUAGUGCGGCGGUCAAGCACACUUUGAAAUCUGACCUCGAAUCAGGUAGGACUACCCGCUGAACUUAAGCAUAUCAAUAAGCGGAGGAAAAGAAACUAACAAGGAUUCCCCUAGUAACUGCGAGUGAAGCGGGAAGAGCUCAAAUUUGAAAUCUGACGGUUCCGCCGUCCGAGUUGUAAUCUGGAGAAGCGUUUUCCGUGCCGGACCGUGUACAAGUCCCUUGGAACAGGGCGUCAUAGAGGGUGAGAAUCCCGUCUUUGACACGGACUCCCGGUGCUCUGCGAUGCGCUCUCGAAGAGUCGGGUUGUUUGGGAAUGCAGCCCAAAAUGGGUGGUAAACUCCAUCUAAAGCUAAAUAUUGGCGAGAGACCGAUAGCGAACAAGUACCGUGAGGGAAAGAUGAAAAGCACUUUGGAAAGAGAGUAAAACAGUACGUGAAAUUGUUGAAAGGGAAACGCUUGGAGUCAGUCGCGCCUUCCGGAACUCAGCCGGGCUUCUGCCCGGUGCACUUUCCGGUUCGGCGGGUCAGCAUCGGCUUUGGAGGGCGGACAAAGGCGCGGGGAAGGUGGCAGCUCCGGCUGUGUUAUAGCCCCGCGUUGUACGCGUCCUCCGGGACCGAGGAAUCCGGCGCUCGUCGCCCGGGAUGCUGGCGUAAUGGCUCUAAACGACCCGUCUUGAAACACGGACCAAGGAGUGCUACGUGCUCGCGAGUGUUUGGGUGGAAAACCCGAGCGCGCAAUGAAAGUGAAAGUCGAUACCCUUUGCGGGGGCACCGACGCCCGGGCCAGAAGUUUACGGACGGCCCUGCGGUGGAGCGAGUAUGUUGCGACCCGAAAGAUGGUGAACUAUUCCUGAGGAGGGCGAAGCCAGAGGAAACUCUGGUGGAGGCUCGUAGCGGUUCUGACGUGCAAAUCGAUCGCAGGACUUGGGUAUAGGGGCGAAAGACUAAUCGAACCAUCUAGUAGCUGGUUCCUGC
This 1509-nucleotide unclassified non-coding RNA is filed under the name uncultured fungus. RNAcentral describes it as "sequence contains 18S rRNA gene, ITS1, 5.8S rRNA gene, ITS2, 28S rRNA gene". The stretch from base 566 to 1509 matches the Rfam family "Eukaryotic large subunit ribosomal RNA", at positions 1 to 961 of the family's 3401-position model. Lineage: Eukaryota; Fungi. The record is from RNAcentral.